This 460-nucleotide ribosomal RNA is filed under the name uncultured bacterium. RNAcentral's name for it is "partial 16S ribosomal RNA". It matches the Rfam family "Bacterial small subunit ribosomal RNA", at positions 338 to 795 of the family's 1533-position model. The record is from RNAcentral.
CCUACGGGCGGCAGCAGUGAGGAAUAUUGGUCAAUGGACGAGAGUCUGAACCAGCAAAGUCGCGUGAAGGAUGACUGCCCUAUGGGUUGUAAAAUUCUUUUAUAUGGGAAUAAAAUGUUCAGCGUGUGGGAUUUUGUAUGUACCAUAUGAAUACGGAUCGGCUAACUCCGUGCCAGCCGUCGUGGUAAUACGGAGGAGCCGAGCGUUAUCCGGAUUUAUUGGGUUUAAAGGGAGCGUAGGUGGAUUGUUAAGUCAGUUGUGAAAGGUUGCGGCUCAACCGUCAAAUAGCAGUUGAAACUGGCAGUCUUGAGUACAGUAGAGGUGGGCGGAAUUCGUGGUGUAGCGGUGAAAUGCUUAGAUAUCACGAAGAACUCCGAUUGUGAAGGCAGCUCACUGGACUGCAACUGACACUGAGGCUCGAAAGUGUGGGUAUCAAACAGGAGUAGAUACCCGAGUAGUC